UCUUGUAGCCAGCAGCCAUUUCACUCUGCAACUCACAUCUGGCGACCUGGUGAAGCUAAGCAGGUGUGAGCCUGGUCAGUACCUGGAUAGGAGACCUCCUGGGAAAAACUAAGGUUGCUACUAGAA
Lepisosteus oculatus (spotted gar) is the source of this 126-nucleotide non-coding RNA. Lineage: Eukaryota; Metazoa; Chordata; Actinopteri; Semionotiformes; Lepisosteidae. The record is from Rfam.